ACGGCCGCGGUACCCUAACCGCGCAAAGGUAGCAUAAUCACUUGUUCCUUAAAUAGGGACCAGUAUCAACGGCACCACGAGAGUCGCACUGUCUCCUUCCUCUAAUCAGUGAAACUGAUCUUCCCGUGAAGAAGCGGGAAUAAAACUAUAAGACGAGAAGACCCCAUGGAGCUUUAAACCUUCAACAACUUUAUACUAUACUUCCCCAUAAUUAUAAGCCUUGCCUAACGGUUUUAGGUUGGGGCGACCGCGGAGUAAAAACCAACCUCCAUGACGAAAUAGAACUAAAUCUUUAUCCAAGAGCCACCCCUCUAAGAAUUAGAACACUAACGCACACGACCCGAUAAUCGAUCAACGAACCAAGUUACCCUGGGGAUAACAGCGCAAUCUACUUCAAGAGCCCAUAUCGACAAGUAGGCUUACGACCUCGAUGUUGGAUCAGGGUAUCCUAGUGGUGCAGCCGCUACUAAUGGUUCGUUGUCAACGAU
Molecule: ribosomal RNA, 488 nt
Filed under: Philautus sp. C EW-2017
Lineage: Eukaryota; Metazoa; Chordata; Amphibia; Anura; Rhacophoridae
Description: partial 16S ribosomal RNA
Rfam family: Bacterial large subunit ribosomal RNA
Source: RNAcentral